AUGACACCCGUCGCUAAAUUCCCAAUUCCAGUAACUGAAGAGCUACUUGAUGAACUUCAUGGGGCAGUAUGGUUCUCCAAACUCGAUCUCCGAGCGGGUUAUUACCAAAUCAGAAUAGCCGAGGGUGACGAUUACAAGACUGCUUUCCAGACCCACUCGGGACAUUUUCAAUUCGUCGUACUCUCAAUGGGCCUAGUAGGAGGUCCGUCCACUUUCAACGGUGCAAUGACUGAUACUAUGCAUCCUCUGCUUCGCAAGUGUGUUAUGCUAUUCUUUGACGACAUCCUAGUCUUUAGCCGCACCUUGGAAGAUCAUACAACCCAUCUUAAACAAGUUUUUCAGCUCCUACAGUGA
Molecule: ribosomal RNA, 354 nt
Filed under: Triticum aestivum (bread wheat)
Lineage: Eukaryota; Viridiplantae; Streptophyta; Magnoliopsida; Poales; Poaceae
Description: partial small subunit ribosomal RNA
Source: RNAcentral